GAUGAACGCUAGCGGCAGGCUUAACACAUGCAAGUCGAACGCACCUUCGGGUGAGUGGCGGACGGGUGAGUAACACGUGGGAACGUACCUUUUGGUUCGGAAUAACGCAGGGAAACUUGUGCUAAUACCGAAUGUGCCCUUCGGGGAAAGAUUUAUCGCCAUUAGAGCGGCCCGCGUCUGAUUAGCUAGUUGGUGAGGUA
RNAcentral lists this ribosomal RNA (200 nucleotides) under uncultured bacterium. RNAcentral's name for it is "partial 16S ribosomal RNA". It matches the Rfam family "Bacterial small subunit ribosomal RNA", at positions 28 to 259 of the family's 1533-position model. The record is from RNAcentral.